CCACGAGUUGGUUCAGUUGGUUUUGGGCAACAGGUGUGAGGUUGUUAGUGCUACACAUUGAAGAAUCUAUCGUUCUUACAGCAAGAGGUAGCAAUGAAGUCCGAUCAGAAGCCAUUGGUUUAGGAAUUGAUUUGAGAAAUCUCCGAAAUCCCAUUUUCUCUUUGUUCUACGUUCCUUGGCUGAAUUUAUCCUCUCCCACUUCUCACAUAGUUAUAUUUUCAUGAAAACCCUCGAAGAAGAAGCAAUUGGG
This 250-nucleotide unclassified non-coding RNA is filed under the name Hevea brasiliensis (rubber tree). Lineage: Eukaryota; Viridiplantae; Streptophyta; Magnoliopsida; Malpighiales; Euphorbiaceae. The record is from RNAcentral.